RNAcentral lists this long non-coding RNA (1089 nucleotides) under Phoenix dactylifera (date palm). Its description in RNAcentral is "long non-coding RNA (PDAC_LNC015262)". Lineage: Eukaryota; Viridiplantae; Streptophyta; Magnoliopsida; Arecales; Arecaceae. The record is from RNAcentral.
CACGGCGGAAGGCGGAGCGCAACCAAAGCAACUCAAAGGGAACUCCGUUCACACCGCUGUGCCAAUCGUUCUCGGUUUGGACCACCAGCAACAGUUGGCGCUAGAAGGAGGGCCACAUCACAACCUAUUUCCAAACACAUCAGCUGUUAAGUUGGUGCUUCUAAGUAUGCUUGCUGGCUUAUGAAACCCAAUCACCUUUUCUGAACGAACUUGAUAUAGUCAUGAUGUCAUAUAACAUCUCAAUUUGUAGUUUGUAAGGCCAUCAAGGACUUUACGUGGGAUGCAGACAAUAUCAUUUGAAUCAUUCAAGAUCUUGCACUGAGAUACAUGUAACAACUGCCACUUGAUGACCUCAUUGGAUUGAUAGGGAGAAAUCAAUUAGGCAGAUGAUACUAGUCUUCUUCCCAGUCUCAUCUCCAACUUAUCUCCAACUUAGCUCUGGCCUCUGAAUGACCUUGUCUUCUCUCUCAGGUUUAAGUCAUCCUCCUCGCCAUACCAGCAGUUAUGAAAUGACUUCAGCUGAUUUAAUCAUGGAUGGUAGAGUAGUUUAACAAUGACUUAGCAGAUCAUGUCCCUGUUCCAUAAACAAAUUGCAAGGUAACUAUGCCACCUGAAGUUUUUGACUCAUUCAGGUCCAUAGGCCACAUAGCUCUACAUUUGCACUGUUCUUGCCCAAAAAUUGCUAGCUACUAAGGCUCUAAGCUAUGUAAUUGUUUUUGCAACAAUGCAGUUAUUGUAGUAUUAGUAAAAAAUCACGGCCUGUUUUCUUUUUGUAAUUUAGAAAAAUUUGUGACAAUAGCCACAUUCAGCAUUAGUAUGCCUUUCACAUUUUUCUGUGAUUUUUCCUCCCUUUACACUGUAUCUGUUCAUUAGGAUAUGCAGUUAUGGCUAGAAUUUAUCAUUUUCAUAUGAAACUACGUUGCUUAUCUGUGAGGUAGUUCAGUCCUUUUUUCUUCAUGUUGGAUUCUUGCACUUACCAGAUGUUUAUGGGGAUUUGUUUCACAAUGCUUACUCAUCAAUUCUAUAUCCUUAUAGAUGGAGCCAAAUAGUUGGUAGGUGUUUUUUGUAUUUAUUUUUGGUUGGUGGUUG